RNAcentral lists this ribosomal RNA (888 nucleotides) under Limosilactobacillus fermentum. RNAcentral's name for it is "bacterial SSU rRNA". It matches the Rfam family "Bacterial small subunit ribosomal RNA", at positions 103 to 975 of the family's 1533-position model. The record is from RNAcentral. Lineage: Bacteria; Bacillati; Bacillota; Bacilli; Lactobacillales; Lactobacillaceae.
CGGGGGAGUAACACGUAGGUAACCUGCCCAGAAGCGGGGGACAACAUUUGGAAACAGAUGCUAAUACCGCAUAACAACGUUGUUCGCAUGAACAACGCUUAAAAGAUGGCUUCUCGCUAUCACUUCUGGAUGGACCUGCGGUGCAUUAGCUUGUUGGUGGGGUAACGGCCUACCAAGGGGAUGAUGCAUAGCCGAGUUGAGAGACUGAUCGGCCACAAUGGGACUGAGACACGGCCCAUACUCCUACGGGAGGCAGCAGUAGGGAAUCUUCCACAAUGGGCGCAAGCCUGAUGGAGCAACACCGCGUGAGUGAAGAAGGGUUUCGGCUCGUAAAGCUCUGUUGUUAAAGAAGAACACGUAUGAGAGUAACUGUUCAUACGUUGACGGUAUUUAACCAGAAAGUCACGGCUAACUACGUGCCAGCAGCCGCGGUAAUACGUAGGUGGCAAGCGUUAUCCGGAUUUAUUGGGCGUAAAGAGAGUGCAGGCGGUUUUCUAAGUCUGAUGUGAAAGCCUUCGGCUUAACCGGAGAAGUGCAUCGGAAACUGGAUAACUUGAGUGCAGAAGAGGGUAGUGGAACUCCAUGUGUAGCGGUGGAAUGCGUAGAUAUAUGGAAGAACACCAGUGGCGAAGGCGGCUACCUGGUCUGCAACUGACGCUGAGACUCGAAAGCAUGGGUAGCGAACAGGAUUAGAUACCCUGGUAGUCCAUGCCGUAAACGAUGAGUGCUAGGUGUUGGAGGGUUUCCGCCCUUCAGUGCCGGAGCUAACGCAUUAAGCACUCCGCCUGGGGAGUACGACCGCAAGGUUGAAACUCAAAGGAAUUGACGGGGGCCCGCACAAGCGGUGGAGCAUGUGGUUUAAUUCGAAGCUACGCGAAGAACCUUACC